Molecule: non-coding RNA, 188 nt
Filed under: Pseudohaemophilus sputorum
Lineage: Bacteria; Pseudomonadati; Pseudomonadota; Gammaproteobacteria; Pasteurellales; Pasteurellaceae
Description: Haemophilus sputorum Lysine sequence
Rfam family: Lysine riboswitch aptamer
About the family: Riboswitches are metabolite binding domains within certain messenger RNAs that serve as precision sensors for their corresponding targets. Allosteric rearrangement of mRNA structure is mediated by ligand binding, and this results in modulation of gene expression. This family includes riboswitches that sense lysine in a number of genes involved in lysine metabolism, including lysC.
Source: RNAcentral
GCGGCACAGAGAGGCGCAUCACUCAGGCAACUUAACUUUAGGCAACUAGGGCUGUAUGACGGUUAGGUGAUGGGAGUGUUUGCCGAGGUGUGAAUUCACUAGACUGGAAUGAACAUCGGCUGAGUCAGGUUGAAUCCUAUCAGCUGUCAUUUGAUUUUAAUUCAAUCAAAUGGAGUGCUCUGAUUGAA